This is a long non-coding RNA of Trachymyrmex cornetzi, 86 nucleotides long. RefSeq lists it as uncharacterized. NCBI's taxonomy places the organism in Eukaryota, Metazoa, Arthropoda, Insecta, Hymenoptera, Formicidae. The record is from RefSeq and is a predicted model, not a curated record. The transcript is spliced from 3 exons.
AGAGGAGACCGGGGUCAGUUGACUAUAGGAGUAAAUAGAAUAAUCGAGGCUACAUUAAAAACAAAACACGCGAGACAUGUGUAAAC